Molecule: non-coding RNA, 93 nt
Organism: Mycena crocata
Lineage: Eukaryota; Fungi; Basidiomycota; Agaricomycetes; Agaricales; Mycenaceae
Source: the annotation of a GenBank genome assembly
AUCCCGCUGGUCCAAUGGUAAGACACCGAACAUCACGAGUAAUUGAUCUUCUUGGUUAUUCAGAUAUCCUGGGUUCGAAUCCCGGGCGAGACA